UCUCCCUGACCCUGAAGGAAUACCAGACACACCAACUGAUGGUGUUACUGAGGAACCUCUCCCUGACCCUGAAGGAAUACCAGACACACCAACUGAUGGUGUUACUGAGGAACCUCUCCCAGACCCUGAAGGAAUACCAGACACACCAACUGAUGGUGUUACUGAGGAACCUCUCCCAGACCCUGAAGGAAUACCAGACACACCAACUGAUGGUGUUACUGAGGAACCUCUCCCAGACCCUGAAGGAAUACCAGACACACCAACUGAUGAUGUGGGUGAUUUUCCUGACCCCUCAUCCCCAGGCCUACCAAAAGGGUGUCCUCUUUGGCGAGCGCUUCAGCUGCACCGCAUGUUUUGACUGACGCAGUCCUGAAACAACAAGAAGAGAUCAACACAUCAAACAGACUCAAACAGCAGCUGGAGGAU
Molecule: long non-coding RNA, 426 nt
Filed under: Salmo salar (Atlantic salmon)
Lineage: Eukaryota; Metazoa; Chordata; Actinopteri; Salmoniformes; Salmonidae
Description: lncRNA (ENSSSAG00000108507.1)
Source: RNAcentral